RNAcentral lists this long non-coding RNA (354 nucleotides) under Nicotiana tabacum (common tobacco). Its description in RNAcentral is "long non-coding RNA (NTAB_LNC011517)". The record is from RNAcentral. Lineage: Eukaryota; Viridiplantae; Streptophyta; Magnoliopsida; Solanales; Solanaceae.
GACACUUCAAGGCGAGUCUUGAUUUGCUCAGAAACAACACCAAAAGCAAGAAAACCAGCCCAAGCAAGUCCAGCACCAAGGCCAAAUCUCCUUGUUAAGGAAGAGGCAAUCCAAUCAGUAGAUUCUGCAGUUGUCGAUAGGCGGGCAGGUUUACUACUAGGCUUUUGCUGCUGCACAUUAGCUGCUGGGGCAGGUGAUGGAGGCUCUGAAGAAGUUGCACUUAGAUUUUGAGAUGGUGGUGGAGUUUGUGGUUGUGGAGGUUGAUUUGGUGGCUGAGGAGGAGGAGGGGUUUGUGAGGAUGAAGAGAAGUUAGUUCUGGUAAUUGGGUGAGACACAAAUGGUGGUGAUCCAAAG